Aplysia californica (California sea hare) is the source of this 127-nucleotide long non-coding RNA. RefSeq lists it as uncharacterized. The transcript has 3 exons. The record is from RefSeq and is a predicted model, not a curated record. Lineage: Eukaryota; Metazoa; Mollusca; Gastropoda; Aplysiida; Aplysiidae.
ACCCAAACAAUACCACGGCCGGACCAUCGGCAGGAGGACCCGUCCGCUGAAGUGGAGGAUGAUGCGGACGACUACCAAGGAGUACCACGGCCGGACCAUCGGCAGGAGAAAGCUGCUGUGCCAACAG